CACAGACUGAAUCCAGGUGAAAGCUAUGAUCCCUUAUUAAUGUCACUUGUUAAAUCCACUUCAAUCAGUGUAGAUGAAGGGGAGGAGACAGGUUAAAGAAGGAUUGUUAAGCCUUGAGGCAAUUGAGACAUGGAUUGUGUAUGUGUUCCGUUCAGAGGGUGAAUGGGCAAGACAACAUAUUUAAGUGUUGUUGAACGGGGUAUGGCAGUAGGUGCCAGGCGCACCGGUUCGUGUCAAGAACUGCAACGCUGCUGGGUUUUUCACGCUUAUGAACAGUUUCCUGUGUGUAUCUAGAAUGGUCCACCACCCAAAGGACAUCCAGCCAACUUGACACAACUGUGGGAAUGCAUUGGAGUCAACAUGGGCCAGCAUCCCUGUGGAACGCUUUCGACACGACGAAUUGGGACUGUUCUGACGGCAACUCGGUAUCAGGAAGAAUCGAGAAGCAGCUCGGUGCUUCCUUGGUGACAGAACGUCAGAUAGCAGACCUUUGGCAACAGUAUAACAAGAUGCUGCUCCUGUGGAGAAAAAUAUGAUAUGGGAGGGUAAAGUCUGGUUGUGUGUGUGUGUGUGUGUGUGUGUUUUGUGUUGUGUUGUGUUGCAGGUAAUGAUAAGUGUGGUGACGUGGACAGGUCAGUUCUGGAAGAAAGACUACGGUGGGAGCCAAGGAAGGAAGACGGGCUCCUGAGUCACGCAGCGGAUGAUGGCACUGCAUCACAAUGCAAGAGGUGUCACUAACAGUCCCUCGUUCAAAUCCAGGCUGAAUCACAUCCCGCCGUAAUUGGGAGUCCCAUAGGGUGGCUAACGAUUGGCCCUGCGUCGCCCGGGUAGACCGUCAUUGUAAAUAAUAAUUUGUUCUUAAAACUGACUUAGUUAAAUUUAUUUUUAAAAGUCUGGUAGUGGUCUUUAGAUAAACUUGUCAGAGAGUACACCCUAGUGGACAAAAGGCAGCACUGUUCCAAAAACGACUAAUUUACUAGUUGUCAUAUCGUAGAGUGCUCCAUAUUUUGUCCCUCCGUGUGAAUAGAACCAGA
RNAcentral lists this long non-coding RNA (1034 nucleotides) under Salmo salar (Atlantic salmon). RNAcentral describes it as "lncRNA (ENSSSAG00000102932.1)". The record is from RNAcentral. Lineage: Eukaryota; Metazoa; Chordata; Actinopteri; Salmoniformes; Salmonidae.